RNAcentral lists this long non-coding RNA (216 nucleotides) under Eucalyptus grandis. Its description in RNAcentral is "long non-coding RNA (EGRA_LNC007326)". The record is from RNAcentral. Lineage: Eukaryota; Viridiplantae; Streptophyta; Magnoliopsida; Myrtales; Myrtaceae.
GACUUUGCUUGGCAAUCUGCGCGUGUUGUGUGGGCUAGAGUGAAUGGAAGAAGGGAAUAUGAAAAUUGACUUUGGUUGGAGACUAUGGACUUGGCAAUUGGAGGCAACUUAAACGAAGGUAAGAAAUAGACUGGGAGUUUGAGGGCCAAUUUCUUUUUUCUGAUAUGUGAUGGGUCAACUUUUUGCUUGGCUUGGUUUUCUCUUUGAGAAUGAAGA